This 439-nucleotide long non-coding RNA is filed under the name Homo sapiens (human). RNAcentral's name for it is "non-protein coding lnc-PSMB1-2:1". Lineage: Eukaryota; Metazoa; Chordata; Mammalia; Primates; Hominidae. The record is from RNAcentral.
AUGAGGUUUAGGCACCAUUGGCCCCCCCGCCAGAAAGAAAAAAGGUUAUUUUUGCCCAUUUCCAACAGGUAACUUUGGCUUGUAAAAUGUGACAUGUUAACAUUUUUCUCCUUAACCUCCCCUACCAUAAACGUAAAUCACGAAAGAAAACUAAACUCCCAUAAACGUUUUUAGCAAUGCAUAUGCUUUUAGACAAAAUACAGAAAACCACUCAGUUACCAAAGUCAUAGCUAAUAUUGGUUUGUUUCUUUGGGUAAAAAAGGAAUUAUGAGGACCAUACACAAAACUCUGCUUGGUUCUUAGUGCCAAAGCUCUCAAUGUCCAAAUUGAGGUGACAGGAUUUGUAUAAAGUGAUUCCAUAUCAGGUGGCUAUUCUGCCUAUUCACUCUUUGAGUUAGACUACUUCUAAGAUUCCUCUCUGGUCUCUAUAACUACAUUG